CAGAUGCUGGACAAGCCAUGUGCUGAGAAUGGAUGACAGCAUCACACCGAAAAACUUUGAAGGAGGGACAGACCAAACCAAAGGCCAGGGAAGGGUCUCAGAGAUAGCUGUGGCUUAAACCAAAGCAGCAGUGAUGGAGAUAUUAACAUCUGGCCAGUUUCUGCAUUAUUGUGAAGAUGGAGCCAACAAGAUGCUCUGACAGAUCUGAGCAUUUCCCGAACACCCUACUGCUUUCUUCUCACCUGUGAACUAUGACCAGCAAAGACCAGAUGAAAUCUCACUUCAAAAAACCUAGGACUAUUCUCAAUUGGAAGUUCCUUUCACUCUUCUUACUGCCCACAGCAUGAAUUAACUUUGUACAGUUAA
Molecule: long non-coding RNA, 366 nt
Organism: Fukomys damarensis (Damara mole-rat)
Lineage: Eukaryota; Metazoa; Chordata; Mammalia; Rodentia; Bathyergidae
Exons: 3
Source: RefSeq, a predicted model, not a curated record